UGGGGGACUUGGUCCUCGCCGGGGCGCUGUGGCAUCUGAGCAGCCCCUCGGAGCCCGUCUGAAUCCCGGCCGGGAGGGCAACCGCCGGCGGGAUUAGCCGUCUCCGGACCGCGGGGCCAGAAGGUCCCCGCCCUUUGUGGUGCAAAUGAGGAGCGCGCGGGGGCCGCGGGGGCGGCGCUCGCCCGGGACCAAGUUCGCCUGCCGCGUCUCCGACACUCCCGUCACACUUUGAGCUCGGCGCGGCUCCGUCCGAUCCCUCCACGGACACCCCCCCACCCCCCUGCCGACGCGGAGGAAUGCUGAGGAAGGACUUGUCCUUAAGAGUCGCCAGUGCUCCGAACCUGUGACAGGAUUUUUGAGAACGUGUCCAACAAACUCGAGUCUGAGCGACCACAGUCCGUCAGUCAUUCUUUCAAGUACAAAUAGUGCACCGUGGAAACCAAAGGCUUGCAACUCAAACUAUUGCUUAAGGACUUCUCGAGACAUUUACUGUACUUCCAUGUGCAACAGGAGUGCUCCGCGAGUACUUUCCAUCUUGUUAUGCGGACUGUUACAAGGGUUGACAUGAAAAGUUUCAUUUUUUAAGACUAUUAAAAAGGUUGAGAUUUAAAGUUUUACUACAUCAUCAUGGGCAUUCUUAAGUGAAACGUACAUGUUUGUUUGUUCGUUUUUUGUAACUACAAGCAUAGGGCCGUGACAGAUUUAAUGGGACCCCUAGUAUAGUUGAGGGCCUUGACUCAGGCCAAGGACCCUGUACCUCUACCUACCGUUGCUUUGGUACAAAUGUCAACACGGUAAAAAACAAAUGACACCUUCAUAUUUUAUUACAGAAAUAAUUUGGAUCUCUGCGACUCCUCUAGGACCUAGAGACCCCACUUGAAUACCACUGAUUAAAGGCAUCUCCCUUCUUGAUCUUUUAGAACCACACAAACUUCCCUCUUCUGUCUAGUCACAAAAGACUUAAAUUACAUGGCUGAUCAUUCCCAUCAAAGUACCCUGAAUUUGACUGUAGAACGUCCUGUGUUUAGCUUAGCCAAGCUCUGGUUUCUUAAUCAUCACGUUCAGAUAUUAUUCUUUUUAUAGAAAGUGGUUGGCUCUCCUGAAUGAAGCGUUAUGAAAGCAUGUGGUCCAUUAAUGUCAUUUUCCUUCUGCCUCAUUUGUUUUACAUUUUGCAUUUAUGCCCCGAGGAAGAGUUCAAAUUUGUUCUCAAAGUAAUGGAAUUGCUGUGGUCAUCUGUCAGAUAAAUACUAAGUUCUGCAUUCCUUUUUUUUUUUUUUUUUUU
This is a long non-coding RNA of Panthera uncia (snow leopard), 1282 nucleotides long. RefSeq lists it as uncharacterized. The record is from RefSeq and is a predicted model, not a curated record. Lineage: Eukaryota; Metazoa; Chordata; Mammalia; Carnivora; Felidae. The transcript is spliced from 3 exons.